UACGAAGGGGGCUAGCGUUGCUCGGAAUUACUGGGCGUAAAGCGCACGUAGGCGGCUUCUUAAGUCGGUGGUGAAUCCUCGGAGCUCAACUCCAGAACUGCCUUCGAUACUGGGAGCUCGAGUCCGGGAGAGGUGAGUGGGAACUGCGAGUGUAGAGGUGAAAUUCGUAGAUAUUCGCAAGAACACCAGUGGCGAAGGCGGCUCACUGGCCCGGUACUGACGCUGACGGUGCGAAAGCGAUGGGGAGCAAACUGGG
Molecule: ribosomal RNA, 256 nt
Filed under: uncultured bacterium
Lineage: Bacteria
Description: partial 16S ribosomal RNA
Rfam family: Bacterial small subunit ribosomal RNA
Source: RNAcentral